UGAGCUGUAAGGUGUCUUGCCCAAUGGCUGU
This 31-nucleotide non-coding RNA is filed under the name Rattus norvegicus (Norway rat). Lineage: Eukaryota; Metazoa; Chordata; Mammalia; Rodentia; Muridae. The record is from RNAcentral.